RNAcentral lists this ribosomal RNA (690 nucleotides) under uncultured Enterococcus sp. RNAcentral's name for it is "bacterial SSU rRNA". It matches the Rfam family "Bacterial small subunit ribosomal RNA", at positions 72 to 748 of the family's 1533-position model. The record is from RNAcentral. Lineage: Bacteria; Bacillati; Bacillota; Bacilli; Lactobacillales; Enterococcaceae.
ACUUCGGUUCACCGAGAAAUGGGAGUGGCGAACGGGUGAGUAACACGUGGGUAACCUACCCAUCAGCGGGGGAUAACACUUGGAAACAGGUGCUAAUACCGCAUAAUUCUUUUCUUCGCCUGGAGGGAAGAUGAAAGACGCUUUUGCGUCACUGAUGGAUGGACCCGCGCCGCAUUAGCUAGUUGGUGGGGUAACGGCUCACCAAGGCCACGAUGCAUAGCCGACCUGAGAGGGUGAUCGGCCACACUGGGACUGAGACACGGCCCAGACUCCUACGGGAGGCAGCAGUAGGGAAUCUUCGGCAAUGGACGAAAGUCUGACCGAGCAACGCCGCGUGAGUGAAGAAGGUUUUCGGAUCGUAAAACUCUGUUGUUAGAGAAGAACAAGGAUGAGAGUAGAAUGUUCAUCCCUUGACGGUAUCUAACCAGAAAGCCACGGCUAACUACGUGCCAGCAGCCGCGGUAAUACGUAGGUGGCAAGCGUUGUCCGGAUUUAUUGGGCGUAAAGCGAGCGCAGGCGGUUUCUUAAGUCUGAUGUGAAAGCCCCCGGCUUAACCGGGGAGGGUCAUUGGAAACUGGGAGACUUGAGUGCAGAAGAGGAGAGUGGAAUUCCAUGUGUAGCGGUGAAAUGCGUAGAUAUAUGGAGGAACACCAGUGGCGAAGGCGACUCUCUGGUCUGUAACUGACGCUG